Neopsephotus bourkii (Bourke's parrot) is the source of this 627-nucleotide long non-coding RNA. RefSeq lists it as uncharacterized. NCBI's taxonomy places the organism in Eukaryota, Metazoa, Chordata, Aves, Psittaciformes, Psittacidae. The record is from RefSeq and is a predicted model, not a curated record. The transcript is spliced from 3 exons.
CGAACAUGGCCCCUCUGCCGUGCUUCCUGCUGACCUGGGGACCCUCUGGGGCCUUCACGCCAGUGUUGGGGAUUUCCCUGAAAGGAACCACAGAUCCCCGGACCAACUCGGGACCUCGCACACUUACAGUUCACAGCUUGUUCUGGCACCUGGUGCGUGGAUGGUACUGUCUGCCCUCGGAGGACCUUUUGGAGAGGGGAGAAGAAAAAGAAAACAGGCCCGUUCAGCUUAUCUGAAGGUUGUGCAGUAUCCGGAAUACUUGGACCUUGGCACAUACAUGUGUCAAGCAUUUGGAGAACCACUGCUCUAUUCGUUGUAUGCUGUCCUGGUACACAAAGGUUUCGGCCCUCGGCAGGACACUACUACUGCUUCAUAAAGAUAUAAGUCAACUUUGUUUCCAGCAGUAUAAAUAUCAGUGCCGAUGAAGAGAAAGGGUGAUGCAGGUGCUCCUGGCAAGCACUGUUCUUAGGGAAAAUUCUCAGGGGGUACUUGUUUUGAUUUGUGUUUGUGUGUUGUGUCCUUCAGCAGUGUCCUGUCUGUGUUUUUUUUUCCUAAACUCUGCAGUUCAUCCAAAGAUGGUGUUGGCUUUCUUUGCAGGCCGACCUCAGGCAUUUGUAGGAGGUGAAC